UACGGAGGGUGCAAGCGUUUGUCCGGAUUUAUUGGGUUUAAAGGGUGCGUAGGUGGCCCUGCAAGUCCGUGGUGAAAGCCUGCCGCUUAACGGCAGAACUGCCAUGGAUACUACAGGGCUUGAGUCCAGACGAGGUUGGCGGAAUGGAUGGUGUAGCGGUGAAAAUGCAUAGAUAUCUGGAGGAACACCGGUGGCGAAGGCGACAUCCUGGACCGGUAUUGACGCUGAGGCGCGAAAAGCCAGGGG
Molecule: ribosomal RNA, 246 nt
Filed under: uncultured bacterium
Lineage: Bacteria
Description: partial 16S ribosomal RNA
Rfam family: Bacterial small subunit ribosomal RNA
Source: RNAcentral